This 253-nucleotide ribosomal RNA is filed under the name uncultured bacterium. RNAcentral's name for it is "partial 16S ribosomal RNA". It matches the Rfam family "Bacterial small subunit ribosomal RNA", at positions 524 to 776 of the family's 1533-position model. The record is from RNAcentral.
GACGGGGGGGGCAAGUGUUCUUCGGAAUUACUGGGCGUAAAGCGUGCGCAGGCGGUUAUGCAAGACAGAUGUGAAAUCCCCGGGCUUAACCUGGGAACCGCAUUUGUGACUGCAUAGCUGGAGUACGGCAGAGGGGGAUGGAAUUCCGCGUGUAGCAGUGAAAUGCGUAGAUAUCGAGAGGAACACCAGUGGCGAAGGCGAGUCCCUGGAAAACACCUGACACUGAGGCACGAAAGCUAGGGGAGCAAACAGG